GUGGUUUAGGUCUAGCUUAGGGAUCAAAAUUCUUACCUUAAAUAAUCAAAAUUCUUACUGAAAUCAAUUCAAUCUUCUUUCUUUUUCAACUGUCAGCAAUUUCUGCAAUAUUUUACUUUUAAUUUAGAUUCACCUCUUUCUUGCUGAAUUUCUUUUAAUUUCUAAUUGAAAAUCAGACCCUCACCUGCUCCUCUCCCUCUCCAUUCUUUCAAACUAACAAAACAAUUAAAAUUA
Molecule: long non-coding RNA, 234 nt
Filed under: Elaeis guineensis (African oil palm)
Lineage: Eukaryota; Viridiplantae; Streptophyta; Magnoliopsida; Arecales; Arecaceae
Description: long non-coding RNA (EGUI_LNC051811)
Source: RNAcentral